AUCUGUCUUUUGUCAGUCUAAUUUAUAGGGCCUUGGCCAAUGAACCCUAGAUGGGUGAAGGCAAAUGAGAGUUCCGCUUUUCUUCCUGGCAGCGGCCUUGUGAAAGUCCUCAAGACAACGAGCGAGUUCCUUAGCAGUCUUGUGGUGUCGGCACAGCCCCAUCUUCAGGGGCAGAAACCGAGAUCCAGAGAUCUCAGUCCUGCAGCCUCGCCCCUGCUUCCCCGUGCAGGGCCGCCUGUGGAGGAGCCCUGACUCCUCUGAACACACCUGGGUGCUAGGACUUGUGCGAUUAGGAGUUAUGCCUCUGGCCUGAAGGCCCCGAGAGUCCCCUGAGCCCCAGGGAGGCCACGCCCCGUUGCGCCCCACCAGGGGUGGUGUGGGUUCCUUCCCUGAUGCUGCAAAACCGUCCGUCACACGUGACCAUUGUGUUCGCGUGGGUGACCCUCCCACUAAACCGAUUCCUUACAGGCAGGACCUGGGUGUUACGCUUUUUUGUUUGUUCGGAACUCAAUGCAGGAAAAUGCGAUCGACGUUUAUUAAUUAACCAAGGCAGUCAAAGGUAGACCUCGGACUAGAACCACGUGUCCUGGGCUCGGCUCCGCAGGUCUAGCUUCCAGACGGGAUGGUGUGCAACGUGCAAAGGAAUUUUGAAAGAUGCUACUUGCGAACAAUCCCUUUCGUCUUCGAUCGCUUUCUUUUGGCGAACCCUGCCUUCCAAAGCACUAUUUCCGUGCUUAUCAGACACCUCUACUCCUAAGAAUCAUGCUACAGUACUCGGAGAGGGAGAGAGGAAGACACGUGGGAACAAAAAAGGGGAGAUCAUUUGCUUUCACCAACCAAAGUUCGUUUGUUUCCACCACCCAGGUAUGCACGCAGAACUGGGACCGACAGAACUUUCCAUUACUGAUGUCUUGAUGCCAACCAGCAAUGUGGCCACCCAAGACGUCAAGUCCUUGUCCAUCCUGAGUCAGAAUCUACCUGACAACCUGAUCACCUCUCAGCUCGCCAUCUCGGAUCAAGUACCCUAAAAAUCUAAAUGUGACACGAGCAAGUACGUUACAGGUGAUGACUCUCUUCACCUGGUACACCACCUCCCUCUACAAGCAACUGUCCAAUAUGGCAGAACAAGGGUAAAAGACUAACUAGAGGGAAUGCCUCGUCUCAAGGAUGCGCUGAUGAGGGAGCCAUUUUGGAGAGUAGCUGAAAAUCCAGCUACUCAUAAGCCCUUCUUGCUGAAGGACCAUAGCACAAGAGAGAGCACGAAGGAUUCAUUUGCUUCAGAACCUCUCCCCAACGCCUGCUGCAUUCCACACACUGUGGUAGGUGCUGUGGGUUUUCAAGAGAAAAUUCCCUUGGCUUCGUGGAGCUUCUUAGUGGGAGGAAAUAGGCAAUGAAAAAAAUACAGAGAAUGUCAGGUGGUACCCAGUGCUAUGCAGGGGGAAAGGCUGAGUUAAGAGGGAUGGUAAGUGCUGGGUGGGGGGGUGGGGGAGGGGGGCUGCUGUUGUGUAAGGGACUCGAGCCAGACUCUGGUAAUUCUUUAGCAGAGACCUGAAAGUGACCGAGGGACCAAGCAGUUCAGGACCGUUUCUACUGUUCGUAUGUGUUAUAAAGACAUAACCCAGAGUUUAAGACUAUCUAGCAGAAAGGGCUAGUUUAAUACAAACCACACGGCCAAUACUAGAAACAGGUGGGGGGGGGGGCAAAAACACGUUAUUUUAUUACAAAUUCCUUAUACUUUCUUUGAUGUUAUAGUUAGGCCAUUACAUUCAUUUCUUAAAAUUAUGUGUAUAGAUAAUUUCUAUAAUCUCUGAGUUUCACGUCAAGAUAGUAAAGGUGAUUACAACAUACGCGCUUUGUGAGAGAGGGGUUAGGUCCACCUGGGUUGAGCAUUCCUGCCACGGUGUGUGUGCUCACAGGGGAAUCACCUCAGAAUCACUAUGGGGGAGCCACCGAUUCCUGCCCCCCCUCCCCCAGGGUCCUCCUGGAGGUUAUGUUACCGUAGGGAGUCAGACUGAAACUUACCAGGCAAGUCAAAUAAUUAAAUAACUACAAGUCGGGCAAGUGUUACAAAGGAAACAAACAAGCUUAUGGAGAGGAGGAUGAGGCGUGGGGCAGGGGGAAGUUUUGUGCUUACCCGUGAGGGUCAGGGAAGAAUUAAGAGCUCCCGGGAGGGAGAGAACUUGCAAACCGUUGGGGAGGAUGUGGUUCACACCUCAACUAGGAGCAGCCGCAGGUGACUGGUGGCUGCCAUAUGGGCUGAGCAGAACAAUGAGACAGAAUCGGCUCCGAGAUGAUAAACGUUGAAGAUGAGUCAGAGGUUCAUGGGGGUUCAGUACACUAUUCUCUCUGCUUUUGAAAUAUUUUAAAGUUUCCAUUAAUAAUAAAAGAAAAACAAAAGCCUUCAAAAGCA
Molecule: long non-coding RNA, 2410 nt
Organism: Leopardus geoffroyi (Geoffroy's cat)
Lineage: Eukaryota; Metazoa; Chordata; Mammalia; Carnivora; Felidae
Exons: 3
Source: RefSeq, a predicted model, not a curated record